UACGAAGGGGCUAGCGUUGCUCGGAAUUACUGGGCGUAAAGCGCACGUAGGCGGAUUGUUAAGUCGGGGGUGAAAUCCUGGAGCUCAACUCCAGAACUGCCUUCGAUACUGGCGAUCUCGAGUUCGGGAGAGGUGAGUGGAACUGCGAGUGUAGAGGUGAAAUUCGUAGAUAUUCGCAAGAACACCAGUGGCGAAGGCGGCUCACUGGCCCGAUACUGACGCUGAGGUGCGAAAGCGUGGGAGCAAACAGGG
RNAcentral lists this ribosomal RNA (252 nucleotides) under uncultured bacterium. RNAcentral describes it as "partial 16S ribosomal RNA". It matches the Rfam family "Bacterial small subunit ribosomal RNA", at positions 524 to 777 of the family's 1533-position model. The record is from RNAcentral.